RNAcentral lists this ribosomal RNA (382 nucleotides) under uncultured prokaryote. RNAcentral describes it as "bacterial SSU rRNA". It matches the Rfam family "Archaeal small subunit ribosomal RNA", at positions 339 to 725 of the family's 1478-position model. The record is from RNAcentral.
GCGCGAAAACUUUGCAAUGCGAGCAAUCGUGACAAGGGAACUCCGAGUGCCUGUAAAAUCAGGCUGUCCGCCAGUGUAAAUAACUGGCGAAGAAAGGGCCGGGCAAGACCGGUGCCAGCCGCCGCGGUAAUACCGGCGGCUCGAGUGGUGGCCACUAUUACUGGGCUUAAAGCGUUCGUAGCUGGCCUGUUAAGUCUCUGGGGAAAUCUUCCGGCUUAACCGGAAGGCGUCUCAGGGAUACUGGCAGGCUAGGGACCGGUAGAGGUGAGGGGUACUCCAGGGGUAGGAGUGAAAUCCUGUAAUCCUUGGGGGACCACCUGUGGCGAAGGCGUCUCACCAGAACGGCUCCGACAGUGAGGAACGAAAGCUGGGGGAGCAAACC